UCCAGACUCCUACGGGAGGCAGCAGUGGGGAAUAUUGCACAAUGGGGGAAACCCUGAUGCAGCGACGCCGCGUGAAGGAUGAAGUAUUUCGGUAUGUAAACUUCUAUCAGCAGGGAAGAAAAUGACGGUACCUGACUAAGAAGCCCCGGCUAACUACGUGCCAGCAGCCGCGGUAAUACGUAGGGGGCAAGCGUUAUCCGGAUUUACUGGGUGUAAAGGGAGCGUAGACGGUAUGGCAAGUCUGAUGUGAAAACCCGGGGCUCAACCCCGGGACUGCAUUGGAAACUGUCGGACUAGAGUGUCGGAGAGGCAAGUGGAAUUCCUAGUGUAGCGGUGAAAUGCGUAGAUAUUAGGAGGAACACCAGUGGCGAAGGCGGCCUGCUGGACGAUGACUGACGUUGAGGCUCGAAAGCGUGGGGAGCAAACAGGAUUAGAUACCCCAGUACA
RNAcentral lists this ribosomal RNA (447 nucleotides) under uncultured bacterium. RNAcentral's name for it is "bacterial SSU rRNA". It matches the Rfam family "Bacterial small subunit ribosomal RNA", at positions 330 to 797 of the family's 1533-position model. The record is from RNAcentral.